Molecule: non-coding RNA, 830 nt
Organism: Hydra vulgaris (swiftwater hydra)
Lineage: Eukaryota; Metazoa; Cnidaria; Hydrozoa; Anthoathecata; Hydridae
Source: RefSeq, a predicted model, not a curated record
UUGGAAUAAAAGAGUAUGAUUAAGAAAAUGAUUAGGUUGUUUUCAUCUUCGUUUAAUUAAUUUUAUUUAUUUUUCUAAAACACUUUUAUUUCAGUUUAGUUUCAGUUUAAUUAAAAUGAAUACUUGUUCCAUUUGUCAACUAACCUCAUUUACAAGUUUAUCCUGUGCUUUAUGUACAAAAAGUGUUGGCACCAAAUGUCAAGGUAUUAGAAUCAAUGAAUACAAUGUGUGAAUACAAUGCUGUGUAUAAAACUUGUACAGUUUUUAAAUUGUUUACAAAAGACCAGUUGGAAGAGGUUGCAGUGUCUCCAACUAUUAAAAUGAUUUUUUCUGGAGCAGUCCAGCUAUAAACCCCUGGUAAACCUUAUAAUUUUGCCAGAACCAGUUUCACACACAACAUUUACAAAGCUAGUGGUUCUAUAAAAAAUUAAGGAAAGAAUAAAUUUUAGAGUUGUCAUCGGCUUAAAAGAUAACGUUUAAUACAAAAGUCGCAUUCAUAUCUAAAAACAGGUAACGUGACACCAGGUUUUUAAACAGUUGAUGAACCUAUUGAACCUCGGAUUUAGUUGAUGAACCUAUUGUCUACUGUUGAAACAUGAUUUGAUUCAGUAAAUUUUUAUUAUUUGAAUUUUACUGUAUUAAUCAUUAGUCAACAGUUAGCGAGAAACUGGUGCUCUACGUAAUUGAGAUUAAUUGAUGAACAUUUCAAUCGUCACCGAAAAUUGAAUUUUCCUGUUUGUUGCAGGCUUGUUUUCCUUUAAUUAGGAGUAUGGUAGACUUAAAGAAGCAGUUCAUAUCUAAACGACACAAACUGUCAAAAGCAAGAGAAA